RNAcentral lists this ribosomal RNA (209 nucleotides) under uncultured bacterium. Its description in RNAcentral is "partial 16S ribosomal RNA". It matches the Rfam family "Bacterial small subunit ribosomal RNA", at positions 524 to 732 of the family's 1533-position model. The record is from RNAcentral.
UACGUAGGGUGCGAGCGUUGUCCGGAAUUAUUGGGCGUAAAGAGCUUGUAGGUGGUUUGUCGCGUCUGCUGUGAAAAUCCGAGGCUCAACCUCGGACUUGCAGUGGGUACGGGCAGACUAGAGUGUGGUAGGGGAGACUGGAAUUCCUGGUGUAGCGGUGGAAUGCGCAGAUAUCAGGAGGAACACCGAUGGCGAAGGCAGGUCUCUGG